GUAAAGAAGUUAAUGCAUCAGAUGGAGAAUUUUUUUUUUUGUUAUUUUAUCCAAAGAACCAAUUCAACCAGUAUAAUAUACAAUCUUUUAUGUUUCUUAUCAAAAAGAAAAUAUAUAUGUGACAACGUCUUUACUGUAUAUAGAAUCAGUUUCAUCGAAACACUCAUUGACAAUACAACAAUCAAGAAGCCUUCUUUUUUUAAGACGCAAUAAAAAAUCAACAAAUAUAAACAAAAUCACAUCGAAAUUGCAAAAGUUUUGAUAUAUUUGUGUGUUUUUUUUUUUAAUCUCUUGAAGAUUUAUUGUGUGUGAUUGGAAAUUCAAUUUCAGUGAGAACAAAAUGAUAUCUCUACCAGCAACAUACGUUGAGGGAUUCCAUGAUCGUGAAGCUGUUGAAGCAAUGGAAUAUAGAACAUUGGGAAAAACUGGUCUUAAAAUAAGUAAACUUUCUCUUGGAGGCGGAACAUUUAGUAAUCUCUAUGGUGAGUGUAAUGAGGAGGAGGUUAUAGAACUCGUGAGAACUGCAAUAAAACAAGGAAUUAAUUAUUUGGACACUGCUCCAUGGUAUGGACAGGGACGAUCAGAAACUUUAUUUGGCAAGGCCCUGAAAGGAAUUCCACGUCAGGCUUAUUAUAUUGCAACAAAAGUUGGAAGGUAUGAAUUAGAUCAGGAUCGUAUGUUUGAUUAUACAAUUGAAAAAACAAGGCAAAGUUUUCAUAAGAGUUUGGAAUUAUUGUGUUUGGAUUACGUUGAUGUAAUUCAGGUGCACGAUAUUGAAUUUGCACCAUCGUUGGAUAUAGUUGUUAGUCAAACAUUGCCAGAAUUAUCGAGACAAGUAAUUGAAGGAAAAGCGAAAUUUAUUGGUAUCACUGGUUAUCCAGUAUCAAUACUCAAAGAAUGCAUCGAACGAAGCAACAUAAAUAUAUCGACAGUUUUAAGUUUUGCCAGAUUUACACUCAUGGAUGAUAAUUUAUUGCAAUAUAUUCCAUUUUUUAAGAAACACAAUAUUGGAAUUAUUAAUGCGGCUCUAACUUGCAUGGGUAUUUUAACUAAUAAAGGACCACCAGAAUGGCAUCCAGCAUCAAAUGAUAUUAAACAACAAUGUAGAGAAGCAGCUCGUUGUUGCAAGGAUCAUGAUAUUGAAUUGGCUAGAUUGUCAGUUUGGGGCUCAAUGGAGUGUGAAGAUGUUAGCAGUAAUUUGGUUGGAAUGAAAAAUUUAACUGAACUAAAUGCUAAUUUGGAUGUCGUGAGAAAUGGCAUUUCAGAGCAAGAAAAAAUUUUACUAAAAGAAAUUCAAGAAAAUUCCCGUUAUCAGAGACUUUUAAAAUGCCUCGUUUGACUGUUGACAUACGCGACAAUAUUUCUCUCUUUGUGAAUGUAUAAAUCUCAAAAUGCUGUUCAAAAACGUAUCAUAAUUACGAUAUUUAUCGAAAGUGAAAGGUCAACAUUGGGAAAAUGAUUGGAUGCACCAAUCAUGGGAUUCAGUAAAAAAAUAAUUGUACAUAAACAUAUUUUAUAUACUUGAAAAAAAAUGAAUUAAAUAACAAACAACAGAAUGUAAAUUGUUGUAAGAAAAAAAAAUUGUUUACCGAGUUCUGCUUUUAAAAUAGUAAAAUAUUUUUUAAAAUAA
RNA transcript from Leptopilina boulardi, 1630 nucleotides. RefSeq lists it as uncharacterized. Lineage: Eukaryota; Metazoa; Arthropoda; Insecta; Hymenoptera; Figitidae. The record is from RefSeq and is a predicted model, not a curated record. The transcript has 9 exons.